GACGAACGCUGGCGGCGUGCUUAACACAUGCAAGUCGAACGGAAAGGCCCUGCUUGCAGGGUACUCGAGUGGCGAACGGGUGAGUAACACGUGGGUGAUCUGCCCUGCACUUCGGGAUAAGCUUGGGAAACUGGGUCUAAUACCGGAUAGGAGCCAUCUUUAGUGUGGGGGUUGGAAAGUUUUUUCGGUGUAGGAUGAGCUCGCGGCCUAUCAGCUUGUUGGUGGGGUAAUGGCCUACCAAGGCGGCGACGGGUAGCCGGCCUGAGAGGGUGUACGGCCACAUUGGGACUGAGAUACGGCCCAGACUCCUACGGGAGGCAGCAGGGGGGAAUAUUGCACAAUGGGCGCAAGCCUGAUGCAGCGACGCCGCGUGGGGGAUGAAGGCCUUCGGGUUGUAAACUCCUUUCGCUAGGGACGAAGCUUUUUUGUGACGGUACCUAGAUAAGAAGCACCGGCUAACUACGUG
Molecule: ribosomal RNA, 466 nt
Filed under: uncultured bacterium
Lineage: Bacteria
Description: partial 16S ribosomal RNA
Rfam family: Bacterial small subunit ribosomal RNA
Source: RNAcentral